This 270-nucleotide ribosomal RNA is filed under the name uncultured bacterium. Its description in RNAcentral is "partial 16S ribosomal RNA". It matches the Rfam family "Bacterial small subunit ribosomal RNA", at positions 88 to 354 of the family's 1533-position model. The record is from RNAcentral.
ACGGCGACCGGCGCACGGGUGAGUAACACGUAUGCGACCUGCCCGUAGCAGGGGGAUAAGCGGAAGAAAUUCCGUCUAAUACCGCGUAAUAUCUUUCGGGGGCAUCCCUGAGGGAUUAAAGGAAGCGAUUCCGGCUAAGGAUGGGCAUGCGGCGCAUUAGCUAGACGGCGGGGUAACGGCCCACCGUGGCGACGAUGCGUAGGGGUUCUGAGAGGAAGGUCCCCCACACUGGUACUGAGACACGGACCAGACUCCUACGGGAGGCAGCAG